Molecule: RNA transcript, 1193 nt
Organism: Zingiber officinale
Lineage: Eukaryota; Viridiplantae; Streptophyta; Magnoliopsida; Zingiberales; Zingiberaceae
Gene name: cytochrome b561 and DOMON domain-containing protein At4g12980-like
Exons: 4
Source: RefSeq, a predicted model, not a curated record
UCAUGGAUGGUGUGCCCCAGAAGGACAAUUUCAAGCCUUUGAAGUCGAUGGGGAAGGUGGAUCUCCUCAGUAGAGGAAUCUCCGCCACUGGGUCUUCAACAUCCAGAAGCAAAAUUGUGAGUGAGAUUUUAGCGAUUUCCAUCUUGUUAUUUACUCAAAAACUCCUCUCUGGUAGCAAAAAUAACUUCUUAGGGUUCAUCGUCGCUGUCAUCUUGUGCACUGAUCUUGGGGGAAUUUGUGGGCGAGCUCAGCUAUUUCAUACCGCCACGACGCCAUCCGGAGAUCUAAAUCUGCAGCUUGGAGAUUUCGUUUCAGGCGAUGUUUCUUACUCCUUUUCACUUUCUAUUUUGAUUUCAUCCAUUCGUUUUGAUCCAUGUGCUUUUGAUUGAGGAAAGUGGCGAUGGGUGCGAGCGAAAUGCUUGUCAAAAUCUAUCCUCAGGAACUCAGGUUCACUUUGGACGUUAAUAAUAUAGAGAAUCAUCUACCAAGAUCAACAUGCGAUUUCAUAGUUACUACACAAGCAUCAAAGGACACCCCAUCUAAUAUGCAGUUAAAAGAUAAGUUCCUGAUUUAGACCACAGUUGUUCCUAUGGUUGUAUGGAUGAGGACAUCAUUCCAAGUUUUUUCUGAAAAGAAACUGGCAGGAUCUGGCCUUUAAAACUCUUGAUUCAGCUUACCCUAUUGUAACUGUCAAGAGUGAGCUAAUUAAGGAAGUUCUUAUGGCGAGAGAAACUUCUGUUUCCAACUAUCAAGAGUGAGCUAUUCUGGACUGUACACACUUAACAAUGAUAGUUUUUCAUUUUGGCUGAAAAGAGAGUCCGCAGACCCUGCAUGGUUUACCUCCAUGUUUCUUGCCAAAUCCUUGGCUAUGACAUUGGUGUUAGUGGCUGGACUACUGGUCUUGCCCUUGGGAACAAAUCCAAGGGUAUUGUGCACACCACUCACAGGAACAUUGGCAUCACCCUCUUCACUCUUUGCACUUUACAAGUCGACAAUCAUGAAUUCUGGUUCAUGGGGUUUCUGAACUACGACAUUGCUGUGCACCAUAUGUACGAAGCUUUGUGCUAUUUGCAAAAGGAAGCAUCGCCGCAACGAUAGAUCUAGAUGUUUCAACCGUGUAACUUUGGUACUCGGCAAUAGACUUAGGGUCUUUCUUUAGUUCAUGUCAAUAUUUAUAAUGUUGUUUAGAGAAA